Molecule: ribosomal RNA, 404 nt
Filed under: bacterium
Lineage: Bacteria
Description: partial 16S ribosomal RNA
Rfam family: Bacterial small subunit ribosomal RNA
Source: RNAcentral
UCGGGAAUUUUGCGCAAUGGACGAAAGUCUGACGCAGCAACGCCGCGUGAGGGAUGAAGGCCUUCGGGUUGUAAACCUCUUUUAUCAGGGAAGAUAAUGACGGUACCUGAUGAAUAAGUCACGGCUAACUACGUGCCAGCAGCCGCGGUAAUACGUAGGUGACAAGCGUUGUCCGGAUUUACUGGGCGUAAAGAGCGCGCAGGCGGUCGUUCAAGUCGAGUGUGAAAGCCCCCGGCUCAACUGGGGAGGGUCAUUCGAUACUGAUCGACUCGAAGGCAUGAGAGGGUAGUGGAAUUCCCGGUGUAGUGGUGAAAUGCGUAGAUAUCGGGAGGAACACCAGUGGCGAAGGAGACUACCUGGCCUGUUCUUGACGCUGAGGCGCGAAAGCUAGGGGAGCAACCGGG